Molecule: long non-coding RNA, 4404 nt
Organism: Stegostoma tigrinum
Lineage: Eukaryota; Metazoa; Chordata; Chondrichthyes; Orectolobiformes; Stegostomatidae
Exons: 2
Source: RefSeq, a predicted model, not a curated record
AAUGUGGUUGUUUAAUGCAGCGACGCCUUGUAUAUCCUACUGUUAAAUACCAAUGCGCGUUUCUGAUGUUAAGCAUCAGAAAAUAUGAUUUAGGAUUAUCCGUGUAAGAGUAGCUGCCGGGGCGAACAAAAAAUGAUGUAGCAGAAAUAGACACAUUCUAGAAGCAUUGGCCCGUACAAGAGGCGCACGGGGCCCUCCACUACGAUUGAGUAUUAACGUUUUGAGUUUCGGUCCUGCCUGUCUUUGAAAAUAUUAGCAUAAUCACAACGUAUGCAUUUGAUGUGGUUUUGAAUGUGAAAAAGCAGAUUUCCUUAGUUAAUAUUUUGUGCGUUAUAGUGAGGAAAGCGCGCCUACUUUUGAGAUCAAUGUCCACCGAUCAGCCUGAAAUCCAAUCAGUACAUGUGGCCAGGCUGUGCCCAGUAUAGACUUUGCAGUGCAAAUUCUCGAUGUUGCCGUGAUCCCUGAAUCACGUUAGUUUGAAAGUCAAAUACAAACAUCUCGAAAGAUCUUUUGUUUUAAAAAUCGAUCGAUACACCGAACUCAAAUGCUGCAGAUAGCUUGGCUCUUUGUCUCUCCUAACAGUGGGUGGUAGACUAGGGAAAGGAAGAAAAUGGCGAGUCGCAAUCAUUUACAUUUUCUUCCGGUAUAUCGAUCGAUUUUGUCUGCCUUCCACUGCGGUCCGCAGAAAUUGAAGCGCAGAGUCAUAGGAAAACAUUCUAUGAUCACUAUUGAGAGUGUUCGCAUAAAUGGCUUCGUAUAUAUACAUAAUUAAGCCCGUGUCCUGUUUUCUGAUGGAACAGCACACAUUUCUGCCACUUCAUUUAACAGUACGCAGAAACCUGUAAAUAAAUUAAUAAAUAAAUUAAGUCUAGAGAUUUAUGCAUACAAGCAGGGAAUCUUUUCUUAAUUCCCAAGUUACUAUUCAUUAAACUCAAGUAAACAGUUAACAACCAUUUAUUUGGGUAUAUCCUGUGUAAUUUUUUAGAAGUCAAAAUGUGCUGAAGAAUACACAGUUCAGGGCUGAUAGCUUUAAAUAUUAUGCUACAUUUUAAAUACAUGUAUUAAAUCUAAGAAAACUCAAGUGCAGCAUUAUUUUAAGUACUUUCGAUAAUUUAUUGACGAUAUGUAAAUAUGAAUAAAUCUAUUCAUUUAUUCAGUUUUCUGUUAUAAAUCUGUCACCCAGCAUUUUGCAAUUGUAAUUCUGCUGACAUAUUUAAGUGACAUCACAGAUCCGUCUCGAAAAAGUAGGUGAUUAAAACGCAGAGAACUCGACAUCACUGUUAAACUGUUAGUGGCCUAGAGCAUACAGUAGUUCCUUUGAAAUGAAGUAAUCUAACGUGUAUACGGAUAUAUUGCUACAAUGAUGUUGUUCCACCAGACCAACUGAACAUAUGCAUAGAUUGUUGAAUUUAAAUAAACGUAUCAUUUAUGUCUCCCUGAGAAUGGAUCUGUCUUCGAUUUACUUAUAAGCAGCUAACGCAGUUAAUCCAGUUUUUUUUUCUAUUCAACGAGCAUUUUCAGAAAUAAUUUAGAAGUCCGGCUUGAUUUCGUGGCAAGCAAAAAUUCAGCACUGUCAGAGAUGUGCCCGAAUUAAAUAGCAAUGAGGUCACCCUCACAGGUAUAAAAAGUGCUGAUUCGUUUCAAUACCAUGGACAGCGAUUUUUCUAACCUCAAACCGUGACUAAGAUCUUUGCAUCCUUCAACGCUUUGAUCUAACUUUACCAACAUGCAACUAUAAAACCUAUGUCCGUUUAAGCCUUUUAGCAAUGAAAUAUAUCUAAAGCUAAAGGUUAAUCCCAGAAUAUUAAUAAUGCUAAAUACAAUGAAUGUGCAUUAUCAAGGCAUCGACCAGAAGGUUUUAACAUACGUGUGUGGAUGUUAAUAGCACCGAGUGGAGAGUUAAUAUUUUGUGGCGAUGAAAAGCGUGUCUUUCUAAAAGUUGAAUUUUCAGUUGUGCUUAAAUGUGAGCUAUGCUGUUACAAUAUGUGCUCGAUUUGGACCCAACACAGAACUGUGUUGGAGGAGAGGGGUUUUGUCAUUCAGUAAUACGUCAAUUAAAAGAAACUGUUUACAAGAUGGUAUUCGCUUAGAAUUUCACUCCUUCAGUUUCAAGGACAUCCUGCUGAUCAGGAUUUGGUUAAUGGAGGAGAACUUCUGGCCCAGCAAUGACGUCAUGGGCCCAAUGUAAUCCUCUUGUGCUGAACCCAAUCAGCAGAUGUGUCGCUUGUCUGGAUGGAGAGCGAUUAAUCCGUUAGACUGGAUCAGAUCAGCAGCAGCGCCAGGACUGGACCAAACUGCCCCUAGUCCGAUAAAGAGACCGGAUAAAUUGCAGAAGCUUUUUCGCCUCUUUAACAGUCUGGGAUGGAGGAGUAGAAGACCAAUCGUUCUUCAGCUGAUUGCAGCUCUAACCGUUGCAGGUGCCUGGGAAGAGUUGCUGAUCCCUUCUCUUCAGUAUUAUAGUACGAGAUGGGCAUGAAAACGGUGAAUGCAGAGAGAUCAAUCGCCUUUUUUCCCCUUCCCCGCUCUAUUCAAGAGAAGCAAAAAUAAAGCCAGCGCAUUGGAGUUCGCUAACAAUGGAUGUGUCAGGGACAUUUUCAUCCGACGUAGAGGCAACCCGGCAAUGGAAUCGAUGGAGGACAACAGCGAACAGACGCACUGAAUGGUCUUGGAUACUGGGCCGAUGAAACGGAACCGGGAAAUAGUACUAAAUCCCAUAAGAGAUUAAACAUGAUAGAGUUGGUCAAAGCAUAAUUUUAUACAAACACAUUUUCAUUCCCCAUAUAGCCGCAAACCUUCGUAACUUAUUGCCCUCCCUUCCAGCUAUCUGUUGGUUAAUAUAAAACCAAAGUCCUUCAAAAUGGCCCAUUGCAUCACCUGAGCUUUGGUGUUCAAUGGAACUAAAGGUCUAUCUUAUUUUUCAGUGCUACAUCGAUGAACAGAAUUGGUGGCAUCCGAAAUCCGAAAGAGCCUAUUAAUAGUCGAACAGUGUAUUUUCACUGACGGUGCUGCAACAUUUUAGUCUAAUGGUAUUGGUGAAGAUUUUAGAGUUUUCUCAGUUGGUCCAUUGCACCAUUUAUUAUAAUUCUGAGGAGAGUUGGCUCUCUUACACUGCAGUAUCGGGUGUUAUUAAAGCGCCCCCCUCAGGCUCAUACUCUUCAUUACCGAUCCGGAAAAUCCAAUCGUUCCAACCGAGUCAGCAACUCUGGCAGCAUCUAUGACGAAAAAUCAGAGUUAACGUUUCGGGUCCGGUGACCCUUCCGCAGCACAGUAGUAUCAGUAUUAAGCAUGUUUACAAUUUUAAACGUACAUUUAUUUCAGCCAUGUAACUAUCUGCUAGCGUGUUUGGAAACAAAGCAAGGCUAGCAUAAAAUUAUCCCCAAUACAAAACAGAAAUCUCGGAUGUGCGUUAAUGGAACGUCUAAACUGCUUCUCAGAACUUCACAGUUAAGAGAUUUCUUUCAGAUGUUCUCGCCUUCCAGGAAGACUUAGCAAGUUUCAUAAACCACAGUGAGAUGAAUGAUCAGGGUCUUUUUUUUUGUUUCACUAGCUGGCCGAGGGAGGAAUAAUGGGCCCAACCUGUUUUCCAAAAGUUCUCAAUUGUGCUUUCUCCUAAAGCACCGCUGCAUAUAAAUGGGGCUUUUGUUAAACGCCUCAUCCAAAGGAUAACACUUGCAACAAUGCGGCACUCUUAUCAGCCCUGCAUUGAAGUGUACAGCGAGAUAAAGUGCUUACGUCCUAGAUACGCGCUUAAAUCGGAAGCGUUUUAACUCAGAGAAUACUUUGAGUGUAACAAUUCAUGGGAUAUAUCUGGAGAACUUAACCUCGUGUAAUUUACCAAACGGGAGUGCAUCACACCAAACCUAUCACUUCUUGUGAAGGAUACGUGGAAGCUUAUAUAUGGAGAUAUGGCUUUUGACGACGUAAAGCGGCUGAAUACGACCAAUAAGUGUCUGCAUGAUAGCCACACAAUACACUGAGUGUGCGAUACUGUUUUGUGAUAGAUAUUGUAAUCCUGUUCAACUAUUUCAAUCCCCAAUUACCUUUUUUGUUAGAUCAGCUUCACAAAUUUGAUAUUGUUAUGUUUCGAAGUCGAUUUUGAAAUAGAUAGUUCCGAAUAAAGAAAGCGGGAUGCUAAAAAUAUGAACAAGGAAGAUUAUACAUGUAGUUCCAUUUCAGAUAGGAUUUCUACAUAAGAUCGCUCUUUGUAAAGAUCAAUUAAUUGCAAUCCAGUGUAUUUUUAGCACGGUAAUGCUUUGUGAAGCUGUUGUUGCUCUCAUUUUAUCAAUCCCACUGCCUCCUGUCCCUUCUUGUGGGUAUCUCACGUUCGGUCUCCACAAGAGUUCAAAUUACAUUAAUGACAUUGCAGCUUCCACCAUUAAUAAAGUUGAAAUCAAGUUUUUGCCA